ACACUCAGAUUUUGACCUUGGAUAAUUUACUUGUAGUGUUCACUAUACACACCGUGAAUCAAUAAUUAUCCUAAUCAUAGCUAGGUUUUACGAAUGUAUUGAAGAAACAGACUUAAAGAAUAUCAGCCGCCUUGCAAUCAAUAAGCAAAGUAUUCCUCCAUGUGUACAUUAUUAAAAAACUGCAGCUAAGUUUAUUGUAAUGUUGAUGUUUUAGUCAAAGGCGCGGCUCUAUGAAGGUAAGAUGAACGGAACUUUGAAGAAAUGGACGUCACUAUUCCGUGGAUACCAACACAGAUGGGUGAUCCUCACUAAUGACGGCUGUCUAAAGUACUACGAGACAGAACCGGAGGACCUAACAGAACCACCGAAGGGGCAGAUAAAAUUGUCAGUAAGUACCUUGGAAGCGGAAC
This is a long non-coding RNA of Mytilus trossulus (common blue mussel), 410 nucleotides long. RefSeq lists it as uncharacterized. The record is from RefSeq and is a predicted model, not a curated record. Lineage: Eukaryota; Metazoa; Mollusca; Bivalvia; Mytilida; Mytilidae. The transcript is spliced from 3 exons.